This 492-nucleotide ribosomal RNA is filed under the name uncultured bacterium. RNAcentral's name for it is "partial 16S ribosomal RNA". It matches the Rfam family "Bacterial small subunit ribosomal RNA", at positions 29 to 507 of the family's 1533-position model. The record is from RNAcentral.
AGUGAACGCUGGCGGUAGGCCUAACACAUGCAAGUCGAACGGCAGCACAGUAAGAGCUUGCUCUUACGGGUGGCGAGUGGCGGACGAGUGAGGAAUACAUCGGAAUCUACUUUUUCGUGGGGGAUAACGUAGGGAAACUUACGCUAAUACCGCAUACGACCUACGGGUGAAAGCAGGGGAUCUUCGGACCUUGCGCGAUUGAAUGAGCCGAUGUCGGAUUAGCUAGUUGGCGGGGUAAAGGCCCACCAAGGCGGCGAUCCGUGGCUGGUCUGAGAGGAUGAUCAGCCACACUGGAACUGAGACACGGUCCAGACUCCUACGGGAGGCAGCAGUGGGGAAUAUUGGACAAUGGGCGCAAGCCUGAUCCAGCCAUACCGCGUGGGUGAAGAAGGCCUUCGGGUUGUAAAGCCCUUUUGUUGGGAAAGAAAAGCAGCAGGUUAAUACCCCGCUGUUCUGACGGUACCCAAAGAAUAAGCACCGGCUAACUUCGUG